RNAcentral lists this ribosomal RNA (276 nucleotides) under uncultured bacterium. RNAcentral describes it as "partial 16S ribosomal RNA". The record is from RNAcentral.
CUGCUGCCUCCCGUAGGAGUCUGGGCCGUGUCUCAGUCCCAGUGUGGGGGGCCUUCCUCUCAGAACCCCUACGCAUCGUCGCCUCGGUGGGCCGUUACCCCGCCGACUAGCUAAUGCGCCGCAUGCCCAUCCGUGGCCGGGAUUGCUCCCUUUGGCGGCCUUGGGAUGCCCCAAGGCCGCGUUACGCGGUAUUAGACGGGGUUUCCCCCGCUUAUCCCCCUGCCACGGGCAGGUUGCAUACGUGUUACUCACCCGUGCGCCGGUCGCCGGCAACGG